Non-coding RNA from Parelaphostrongylus tenuis, 75 nucleotides. Lineage: Eukaryota; Metazoa; Nematoda; Chromadorea; Rhabditida; Metastrongylidae. The record is from the annotation of a GenBank genome assembly.
GCGUCGGUAGUGCAAUGGUUCUACCACACCCUCUCGAAUAGGAUGAAAUCUGGGUUCGAAUCACAGCUCGACGCA